This is a long non-coding RNA of Schistocerca cancellata (South American locust), 2643 nucleotides long. RefSeq lists it as uncharacterized. NCBI's taxonomy places the organism in Eukaryota, Metazoa, Arthropoda, Insecta, Orthoptera, Acrididae. The record is from RefSeq and is a predicted model, not a curated record. The transcript is spliced from 2 exons.
AAAAAAAAGGGUCAGCAAGAGACGUGACAAUGCCUUAAAAGUGGUGUGUGAAACUUAAGGAUGAAAGUAACUCUUGCCUGUGUCACUGUAAAGUAACAUAGUCCAAUGAACCUUGGACUAUACACAGAAAGAACUGCUACAGUAUAAUGCAAAAUGUAACUGAAAGAAAUAUGCAAUAGAUGAACAGAAAUGACACUUGUGUAUACAAAGACAAUAAUGCCACUGAUACCACAGCAACUCAUGAUGGUCCCCUGGACAUUAACAAAGAUGGGACACAGUUCUUUAAUUGGCUGUGAUUACCUCGGACACCAAAGCAUGCUCUGCAAUGUACCCCCAUGGUGGGAGUUCUUGCGGUAGGGUAUUACAUUUCUCCACCAGCAUGGCUAAAAAUUGCUGGAAUUGCUGGAUGGUCAUUGGUGCAAGUGAAUGUGCUUUAAUACAUCUCCCCAAUGCAUUCCUCACAUGCUCAAAGCAAUUUAAGUCACAGAAAGGGGCAGGCCAGUCCCUCUCAUUCCAAGAGCUCUUCCACCUUUGUUGUUUGAUACAGUUGUGCAUUGUCAUCCAUAAAAAUGAAGUCUUGGUUGAAUACACUUCUGAAAAGACACACAUGAUCAUCAUUUCAUAUUUCUUUCAGUUACCUUCCGUAUUAUUCAGUAGGAGCUCCUUCUACAUAGGGUCCAAGUUUCAUCAAGAUACUUGGCAGUGACAUGUCAUGCGAAAGUCACUUUCAUCCUCAAGUUUUGUACAACAGUGCACAAGAUAUUUGAGAAAGGAAUAUAAAGAAUCACAGGAAAGCUGUUAUUCAGCAUUCUUUCUUAGGUACCUCCAAUGCAUAAAAGGAGAGAGAAACCUAGCUACUCGGCCUAAGUGAUGAAAAAACAAAAUGGAGGUGCAUACUGGUUUUAAAAAUCAUUACAAUUGGAAAAAGAUUGCAACACCCAAUACUGCAAUAAGUUUGCAUACAUUUCACAACUGGAGAAUGUUUAUGGACAGAAAUGCAGUUUUUUUUAAGUCUCUGUCCGAUAUUUCAACAACAUUUCUACAUUUAGUUUGGGUAUUCCCAUACUGAUUCAAAAGAUCUAAACUAAUUUAGAAAUUAUCCAGUUUCAGUUACAGUACUAGAAAUAAUGAGAAACAUGUGCAAAAACAGUAGGUAAUAAACAAAAGGAAAAGUGACAAAAAACAGCCUGAGAAAUUCAUCCUUCCACUAUAAAUUUGAGUGAAAAGUUAAUAGUGUUUCAGGCUCACAUGAACACUAAAUUAUUUGCUAAUCGACAACAUAAUUUCAUUAUUGAACCUCUGUCACACAGGUUUGGAUAACAGCAAUUGCCACAUCUGCAUUACAGACCACUACGGAAAGCAUUACAUUCCUUUUUUUGUGGACACUAGAGGAUUCUACAGCGGAAAAAGUGAGUAUCACCAUGUGGAAGAUAACACUUGACAUAAUCAGUGAUCACAGCCUACCAGACUUUUCUAAAGGAAUAGCCACAGUCCUCCCCAGACUCCUUUCCCCAGUUGCAUUAUUCCCAUACAUCACAUGGAACAAUUUCUGACAAGAGUAUUUGGAAAUCAUAGGUGGAAACAUCAGCAAAAAUGCAAGCGAGUGGUGCCUGGAAAUGAGGUCAAACACCUAAUAGUUAAAGCAACUGCUCGAUACGUGCAGAACAUUUACACUCUAAACGCAUGCUGCCACAAAUUUUCAGUUAUUACUGUGUUAUUUACUUCGCAGGUUCUGAAUAUCUGAACAGGAUGUGAUCAUAUUUCAUGUCGCUACAACUUCAUUGAUUUCAUCCUCUCUGAUCCAUUUGUUUAUUUCAGUGCAUUUAACUCAAUAUUUUUUUGGUAGUUUACAGUGGUAUUGCAUAUAGUUACCCAAAUUUCAUUUCAAUGCUUUCCUUUUAAUCUAAACAGUAGAUGCAAUAUAUCACACUACAGAUAUGAAAAUAUGACGUGUGAAACUGCAGAGAACGUAAUGCUCACAGAACAUCAUACUCACAAGAUGUCUUCUAGAAACAAAUGUAGAUACAGGUAGGGAAAAAAGAAAUCCUCAAAAUGUACAUACAGGUAGGGAAAAAAUCCUUAAAAUGUACAUACAGGUAGGAAAAAAAAAGAAAUCCUCAAAAUGUACAUAUUAACAUGUACGAGGGAGACACUGGAGAAGUAGUUCAUAAAAGCAACACAAUAUCUACUAAAAAUUAUUUUCAAUUUAUUUUCGUAAUAGUAAUUGGAAAAUGUGUUCCAAAUUUGACAACACAAAGGAACACAAAUCCAGUUCUUAGAGAUUAGUGGUGCUUGUACUCACAUUUGCAUGAUAAAGUUUCAUUCCAGCUUUUGCUUUAACAAUAAACCUGUAACAGUUCCAGCUGUAGUUGCAAAUAGCAUAUCUAUCACAUAUUUGCACCAUGUUAACUUUCCUUGCUACUUCCUAUUCAGUCUAUAACAAACAGGAUCAGCAUCCUUUCACAACUGCAUAUAAAAUCAACUAUUUACAUAAAAAAAUGCAAGGUUCAGUUGAACUUUAAGUGGGAGGACAAAUAGUGGAAAGAAGGAAGGAAGAUGAUGUUUGAACAUCACGUCAACCUCAAGGUCAAAGAGAUAGGACAAGCUCACACUCAACUAGGAUAAGGAAGGAAAUCAACUUUG